AGCGAACGCUAGCGGCGGGCCUAACACAUGCAAGUCGAGCGCAUACCUUCGGGUAUGAGCGACGGACGGGUGAGUAACGCGUAGGUCAUCUACCCUUUGGUGGGGGGUAACCCAGGGAAACUUGGGCUAAUACCGCACGAGGUCUACGGAUCAAAGCCUUCGGGCGCCAGAGGAUGAGCCUGCGUCGCAUUACCUAGUUGGCGGGGUAACGGCCCACCAAGGGGACGAUGCGUAGCUGGUCUGAGAGGAUGAUCAGCCACACUGGGACUGAGACACGGCCCAGACUCCUACGGGAGGCAGCAGUGGGGAAUAUUGCGCAAUGGGGGAAACCCUGACGCAGCCACGCCGCGUGGGUGAUGAAGGCCUUCGGGUUGUAAAGCCCUGUCGGGAGGGACGGAAUUCUUGACGGUACCUCCAAAGAAAGACACCGGCUAACUCCGUGCCAGCAGCCGCGGUAAU
RNAcentral lists this ribosomal RNA (459 nucleotides) under uncultured bacterium. Its description in RNAcentral is "bacterial SSU rRNA". It matches the Rfam family "Bacterial small subunit ribosomal RNA", at positions 29 to 524 of the family's 1533-position model. The record is from RNAcentral.